UACGAAGGGGGCUAGCGUUUUUCGGAAUCACUGGGCGUAAAGCGCACGCAGGCGGAUCGAUAAGUCGGGGGUGAAAGCCCGGGGCUCAACCUCGGAAUUGCCUUCGAUACUGUCGGUCUCGAGUCCGGGAGAGGUGAGUGGAAUUCCUGGUGUAGAGGUGAAAUUCGUAGAUAUUAGGAAGAACACCAGUGGCGAAGGCGGCUCCCUGGCCCGGUACUGACGCUCAGGUGCGAAAGCGUGGGGAGCAAACAGG
RNAcentral lists this ribosomal RNA (253 nucleotides) under uncultured bacterium. RNAcentral describes it as "partial 16S ribosomal RNA". It matches the Rfam family "Bacterial small subunit ribosomal RNA", at positions 524 to 776 of the family's 1533-position model. The record is from RNAcentral.